Molecule: long non-coding RNA, 314 nt
Filed under: Homo sapiens (human)
Lineage: Eukaryota; Metazoa; Chordata; Mammalia; Primates; Hominidae
Description: HSALNT0381835
Source: RNAcentral
CUUGUGAGAGAGGCUAAGCCAUAGUAUGCAACUCAGCAGCACUUGAAUUCCUGACCCACAGAAACUGUGAGAAAAUAAAUGUGUAUUGUUUUUAGCUGUCCAAUUUGUUACACAGCAACAGAUAACGAAUACAUCUCUAGGCUAGUCUGCUGGAUGAUGAGUGACAUAUGGCCUACUCACUUCCUUUCACCCAGCCAACACCCAGACAACCACCAGGCAAGUGAGUGAGACAUCCUAGACCAGUCUGCUGUCAGCUGCUUGCAGACAUGCCCGAGAAGGCAAGGGAGGGAGCAGGAACCAGAACCAGAGGAGGU